This 327-nucleotide unclassified non-coding RNA is filed under the name soil metagenome. Its description in RNAcentral is "partial contains 5.8S ribosomal RNA, internal transcribed spacer 2, and large subunit ribosomal RNA". The stretch from base 1 to 120 matches the Rfam family "5.8S ribosomal RNA", at positions 35 to 154 of the family's 154-position model. The record is from RNAcentral.
GAUGAAGAACGCAGCGAAAUGCGAUAAGUAAUGUGAAUUGCAGAAUUCAGUGAAUCAUCGAAUCUUUGAACGCACAUUGCGCCCCCUGGUAUUCCGGGGGGCAUGCCUGUCCGAGCGUCAUUACAACCCUCAAGCUCAGCUUGGUAUUGGGCCCCGCCGACCCGGCGGGCCCUAAAGUCAGUGGCGGUGCCGUCCGGCUCCGAGCGUAGUAAUUCUUCUCGCUCUGGAGGUCCGGUCGUGUGCUCGCCAGCAACCCCCAAUUUUUUUCAGGUUGACCUCGGAUCAGGUAGGGAUACCCGCUGAACUUAAGCAUAUCAAUAAGCGGAG